RNAcentral lists this ribosomal RNA (447 nucleotides) under uncultured bacterium. RNAcentral describes it as "partial 16S ribosomal RNA". It matches the Rfam family "Bacterial small subunit ribosomal RNA", at positions 29 to 523 of the family's 1533-position model. The record is from RNAcentral.
AACGAACGCUGGCGGCAGGCUUAACACAUGCAAGUCGAACGCCCCGCAAGGGGAGUGGCGCACGGGUGAGUCACGCGUGGGAACGUGCCCUGAGGUACGGAACAACGUCUGGAAACGGACGCUAAUACCGUAUAAUAUCUUCGGAACAAAGAUUUAUCGCCUAAGGAUCGGCCCGCGUUGGAUUAGGUAGUUGGUGAGGUAAGGGCUCACCAAGCCGACGAUCCAUAGCUGUUCUGAGAGGAUGAUCAGCCACACUGGGACUGAGACACGGCCCAGACUCCUACGGGAGGCAGCAGUGAGGAAUAUUGGACAAUGGAGGAAACUCUGAUCCAGCCAUGCCGCGUGAGUGAUGAAGGCCUUCGGGUUGUAAAGCUCUUUUACCCCUGACGAUAAUGACGGUAAGGGGAGAAAAAGCCACGGCUAACUUCGUGCCAGCAGCCGCCGUAA